Molecule: transfer RNA, 71 nt
Filed under: Palomena prasina (green shield bug)
Lineage: Eukaryota; Metazoa; Arthropoda; Insecta; Hemiptera; Pentatomidae
Description: tRNA-Asn
Source: RNAcentral
UUAAUUGAAGCCAAAGAUUUAGAGGCUUUUCAUUGUUAAUGAAACAAUUGAUUUUUAAUAAUCCAAUUAAA